GAUGAACGCUGGCGGCGUGCCUAAUACAUGCAAGUCGAGCGAACGGACGAGAAGCUUGCUUCUCUGAUGUUAGCGGCGGACGGGUGAGUAACACGUGGAUAACCUACCUAUAAGACUGGGAUAACUUCGGGAAACCGGAGCUAAUACCGGAUGAUAUUUUGAACCGCAUGGUUCAAAAGUGAAAGACGGUCUUGCUGUCACUUAUAGAUGGAUCCGCGCUGCAUUAGCUAGUUGGUAAGGUAACGGCUUACCAAGGCAACGAUGCAUAGCCGAGCUGAGAGGGUGAUCGGCCACACUGGAACUGAGACACGGUCCAGACUCCUACGGGAGGCAGCAGUAGGGAAUCUUCCGCAAAGGGCGAAAGCCUGACGGAGCAACGCCGCGUGAGUGAUGAAGGUCUUCGGAUCGUAAAACUCUGUUAUUAGGGAAGAACAAAUGUGUAAGUAACUAUGCACGUCUUGACGGUACCUAAUCAGAAAGCCACGGCUAACUACGUG
RNAcentral lists this ribosomal RNA (497 nucleotides) under uncultured bacterium. RNAcentral's name for it is "partial 16S ribosomal RNA". It matches the Rfam family "Bacterial small subunit ribosomal RNA", at positions 28 to 507 of the family's 1533-position model. The record is from RNAcentral.